This 219-nucleotide ribosomal RNA is filed under the name uncultured bacterium. RNAcentral describes it as "partial 16S ribosomal RNA". It matches the Rfam family "Bacterial small subunit ribosomal RNA", at positions 523 to 742 of the family's 1533-position model. The record is from RNAcentral.
GGACGGGGGGGGCAAGUGUUCUUCGGAAUGACUGGGCGUAAAGGGCACGUAGGCGGUGAAUCGGGUUGAAAGUGAAAGUCGCCAAAAAGUGGCGGAAUGCUCUCGAAACCAAUUCACUUGAGUGAGACAGAGGAGAGUGGAAUUUCGUGUGUAGGGGUGAAAUCCGUAGAUCUACGGAAGGAACGCCAAAAGCGAAGGCAGCUCUCUGGGUCCCUACCG